CAGAGUUCGUGCCCUCACGGGUAGAUCUCCCACCCUGUGUUAUUCUCACCUUUGUUGCUUUGGCGGGCCGCCAGGCUUCGGCCAGGCUACCGGCCCCGGCUGGUACGCGCCCGCCAGAGGACCCCAACUCUUGUUUUUAGUGAUGUCUGAGUACUAUAUAAUAGUUA
This 167-nucleotide unclassified non-coding RNA is filed under the name uncultured Leptodontidium. RNAcentral's name for it is "sequence contains ITS1". The record is from RNAcentral. Lineage: Eukaryota; Fungi; Ascomycota.